Molecule: long non-coding RNA, 6382 nt
Filed under: Homo sapiens (human)
Lineage: Eukaryota; Metazoa; Chordata; Mammalia; Primates; Hominidae
Description: SPICE1-CFAP44 readthrough (NMD candidate), transcript variant 9 (SPICE1-CFAP44)
Source: RNAcentral
AACCUGUGGCGCGCUCCGCGGUUCCGGCGCCUGAAGUUUUAGCUGCGGUGGCGGCGGCAGUCGGGACCGACUGCAAGGCAGGUUGAGAUGAUGGAUCUGAGGCUUGCAGCUCGCAGUCCCAACGAGCCUUAGGGACCAGGGCUACCAAAAGGGUGGGGAGAACGGUGGUGGCAUCUGUCUGUUGCCUGGGAUCCAGGCGCCCGGUUGGGGAAUCCUUACUUCAGGAAGCGCAGCCGCGGCUCUGUGUUUUGAGAGUGCAAAUGUCAUUUGUCAGAGUGAACCGCUGUGGUCCCCGAGUUGGUGUAAGAAAGACACCGAAAGUAAAGAAGAAGAAAACUUCAGUGAAACAAGAAUGGGAUAAUACCGUGACUGAUCUAACCGUUCAUCGGGCAACUCCCGAAGAUCUGGUACGCCGUCAUGAAAUACACAAAUCGAAGAAUAGAGCAUUAGUACACUGGGAACUCCAAGAAAAAGCUUUGAAGAGAAAAUGGAGGAAGCAGAAACCAGAAACUUUAAAUCUUGAGAAAAGAAGAUUGUCUAUCAUGAAGGAGAUUCUUUCUGAUCAAUACCAGAUGCAAGAUGUGUUGGAGAAAUCUGAUCAUCUAAUAGCUGCAGCAAAAGAGCUGUUUCCUCGUAGGCGCACAGGGUUUCCAAAUGUAACAGUGGCUCCUGAUUCCUCUCAGGGUCCCAUUGUGGUAAAUCAAGACCCUAUCACCCAAUCUAUCUUUAAUGAGUCUGUCAUAGAACCUCAGGCUCUUAAUGAUGUAGAUGGUGAAGAAGAAGGAACUGUUAAUAGCCAGUCAGGAGAAAGUGAGAAUGAGAAUGAGUUGGAUAACUCUCUAAACUCUCAGUCUAACACGAAUACAGACAGGUUUCUCCAACAACUAACAGAAGAGAAUUUUGAGUUAAUUAGUAAGUUGUGGACUGACAUUCAGCAGAAAAUAGCAACCCAGUCACAAAUAACUCCUCCAGGAACGCCAUCAUCUGCUCUUUCAUCAGGGGAGCAAAGAGCUGCUCUGAAUGCUACCAAUGCUGUCAAGAGACUCCAAACCAGGCUUCAGCCUGAAGAAUCUACUGAGACUCUAGACUCAAGCUACGUUGUGGGACACGUGCUGAACUCAAGGAAGCAAAAACAGCUGUUAAAUAAAGUGAAAAGGAAACCGAAUUUGCAUGCUCUUUCCAAGCCGAAGAAAAACAUAUCAUCAGGUAGCACAACCUCUGCAGACUUACCAAAUAGGACUAAUUCCAACCUGGAUGUCCUCAAACACAUGAUACAUGAAGUGGAACAUGAAAUGGAAGAAUAUGAGCGGUGGACAGGUCGCGAGGUCAAGGGUCUGCAGAGCAGUCAGGGUCUUACAGGCUUCACUUUGUCGCUGGUGAGCUCCCUCUGUCGCCUGGUUCGGUACCUUAAAGAGAGUGAGAUCCAGCUACGUAAAGAAGUAGAGACAAGGCAACAACUGGAACAAGUAUUAGGUGAUCAUCGAGAGCUCAUUGAUGCUCUGACAGCUGAAAUUCUUCGUCUUAGAGAAGAAAACGCUGCUACACAGGCAAGACUUCAGCAGUACAUGGUCACAACAGAUGAGCAACUGAUAUCACUCACACAUGCUAUUAAGAACUGUCCUGUGAUAAAUAACAGACAAGAAAUUCAGGCAUCAGAAAGCGGAGCCACAGGUAGAAGAGUUAUGGACAGUCCAGAGCGUCCAGUUGUAAAUGCCAAUGUCUCAGUGCCAUUGAUGUUCAGAGAGGAAGUGGCUGAAUUCCCACAGGAAGAGUUGCCCGUUAAACUGUCUCAGGUGCCAGACCCUCCAGAUAACAUGAAUCUGGCCAAGAAUUUUCCAGCACAUAUUUUUGAGCCAGCUGUGUUGUUAACACCACCCAGGCAGAAGAGCAACUUAAAAUUCUCUCCUCUUCAGGACGUAUUGAGAAGGACUGUUCAAACUCGUCCUGCUCCACGACUUCCUCCAACUGUGGAAAUAAUUGAGAAGGAACAAAAUUGGGAAGAGAAGACCUUACCUAUUGAUACAGACAUUCAGAAUUCAAGUGAAGAGAAUCGUCUCUUCACUCAGAGAUGGAGAGUCUCUCACAUGGGAGAAGAUUUGGAGAACAAAACUCAGGCUCCUUUUGUUAACCUCUCACAGCCCCUCUGCAAUUCCCAUUCCAACACUCAACAGUCAAGAAGCCCCACAUUCUCAGAAGAGCUCCCAGUACUGGGAGAUGGGCAGCAGCUGAGAACAAAUGAGUCAUUAAUACAAAGAAAGGACAUAAUGACACGAAUUGCUGAUUUGACAUUGCAGAAUUCAGCUAUCAAGGCACAUAUGAAUAAUAUUAUUGAGCCCAGAGGAGAGCAAGGGGAUGGACUCCGGGAGUUGAACAAACAAGAAAGUGCAAGUGACAUGACUUCUACUUUUCCAGUAGCACAGUCUCUAACACCAGGUAGUAUGGAGGAACGGAUUGCAGAAUUGAAUCGACAAAGUAUGGAGGCUCGUGGAAAACUACUGCAGUUGAUAGAGCAGCAGAAACUUGUUGGUUUGAAUCUUUCUCCACCAAUGUCACCUGUUCAGUUACCUCUCAGAGCAUGGACUGAAGGAGCAAAGAGGACAAUUGAGGUAUCUAUUCCAGGAGCAGAAGCCCCAGAAAGCUCAAAAUGUAGUACUGUCUCUCCCGUCAGCGGGAUAAAUACAAGAAGAUCUUCCGGGGCUACUGGUAAUUCUUGUUCUCCACUAAAUGCCACCUCAGGAAGUGGGAGAUUCACACCUCUUAAUCCAAGAGCAAAGAUUGAGAAACAGAAUGAAGAAGGCUGGUUUGCUCUUUCUACCCAUGUAUCAUAAGUGAAGUCAAGUCUCACUGAGUUUGUUCUUAAUAAUUUAUUACUUCCCUUUCCCUGCUCUGACUUUUAAGUUUUUAUAUCCUUCUUUCAGAUAAAACCUACAAAGAUCCUGUGAAUUAGUACUAAUGAAACAGAGAAAUAAAGCAAUUAUUUUUUGACUUUCUCAAAUAAGUUUUCAACAACCAACUGACCUACAGCUCCCUGUGAAUGAAACUUUGACUGUAGAGAAGUUAAAGUUUUGUAUUUUAAUACUUUCUUAAGUAUUUUAAGGGUUUUUUUUAUUAAUACAUUUUUACCUUUAUCUUUAUUCAGGGUUUUUUGAGGUUUAGUAUAUCUUAGUUGAUCCAUUUAUUUAUUUAUUUUCCUGAAGAACUAAUUUGCUUUGCAUGUAACUUACAAUAAAAUUCCUCUGUGUGAUUAGAGUCUGGCUUUCAGGAAUAUGUAACACCCACUUUUCUUUCUUUUUUCUUGGGAAGUCAUUGCUGUUCAUCACUUUUUCCAUCAAGUGAAAUAUACAGCCUUAAAAACAAUAGGCCUGGGAGUGUUUGUUUAUAUUUGCUUAAGCAGUGUCAUGAGGCGGAGAAGGCCCGACCAAAGGGCGGAUAGGUACCGGGUUCCCGGAGAGCUGGACGCCGGCCGCGCAUGCGCCCCACGGCCCGCCCUGGUUCCGCCUCCCUGGAAGAGGGGUGGCGUUGUCUCGGUAACCGGAGUAAACGGAGGCCUCCGGCAGACGCUGUGAAGAGAGGAGCCGCGGCGGUCAGUACCUUCGAGGAAAUGAAGGAACCAGAUGAUCAGGAUACUGAUGGGGAGAAAUCAGUUACAUCAAAGAGUGAUGGGAAGAAGUCUCUGAGGUCUUCUAAAUCAGAAUCAAGAUCUCCUGUUCAAGAAGAUAACACAUUUUUAGAAGAUGACACAGAUGAAACAUUUACCAAAGGGGAAGGAUCAUAUUUAGAAGAAGACUCAGAUGAGGAACGUUUGGAAGGAAGUUUGAGUUCAUUUCAGUAUGGUGAUUUGCAAAGCACUACAGUACCUCAGCAAACCCCUGCUCCAGCUGUGGAAGAAGCAGAGGAGGAAGUUAAGAAGAAAAUAUCAGAGAGCUUCUUCUAUGAUUAUAUGGAGCUUGCUUCGAUGCCUUUUGUGACUCUGGAUUCAAACAUACCACUGGAUCUUCUCACACUUGUGUAUCCACCCUGGCUAAAUAUGUAUAAUUUUGGGAUUUUCAUUUCUUAGGUCAGAGGUCAGCAAACUAUAGCCCAGGGAGCCCAAAUGUGCCUUCCCACCUGUUUUGGUAAAUCAAGUUUUAUUGCAACACAGCCACAUCCAUUUGCUUACAUUUUGUUUAUUAUGGCUGCCAUCACACAACAAGGACAGGGAUAAGUAGUUGUGACAGAGACCAUCUGGCUCACAAGGCAAAAACUAUUUACUACCUUCCCUUUAUAAAAAAAUGUGUGCCAACCCAUAUUAGGUAAUUCUAAGAAGCUUGAAUUCUUAGAGAUUUGAUAGAAAUGCAUGAUCUUAAUUUAAACUAAGCUUUUGUUUGAUGCCAAAUAACCAUACAGAGAAAUAUUUUUUCUGGCUGUCCUUUGCACAAGUGGAAAGGCUGCAGUUCAUGAGAUCUGAGUGAAGGAAAUCAGAAGGCUUCUUCUUCCCAUUUACUUUUGUCAGUGCCUGUCAAGUUACAUAAUCAAUUUCCCUUCUUGAAACACUUAUGUGUCUGUCCAUUGUAAGGCAUUAGUACUUUCACAUUAUAUAUCAGAUGAGCUAUCAGAGAAGACAAUUCUUAGGAAACAGGGCACAAAAUAUAAAGUUUUAAUUGGUUUGGAGAAUAAGAGUCUUUUAAGAUAUGUAGAAACAGGAUGAUUGACAAGGGGAUUUUGUGUUCGUCAUCACAUUAUGAUGUUAGGUUUGCAAUGCGGGUAGUUAGAAAACAGUUUUCAUUGAGGUCCUUAGCUGGCAAUGUACUGUGCUUCCCUUUUGGAUAGUUAGUACUUAUCACCACGUGGCCUAAACCACCAACUGGCCUCUUACAUAAGGAAUACUUACAGAGAUAGGGUGGUGUACUCCCUGACUCAGUUUUGCUUUUUACAUAAAAACAUAAAAAUAGAACAUGUUGUUAAAUCCCAGGUGUAACUAAAUUAAUUCGUGCUGAUUUAUCUUGUAACCUGGAAUUUUCUCUCUUCAUGGCUUUUUUUUUCCUUAUCUUUGGACAAGUUUCUGACAAAAGUUAUGCUGUUUGCUUUCUUUUAGCCUUUUUUUCCCAAAUGGGAUGGGGUGGUAUAUUAGAGUCCCCUGGAAGUUUUUCCUAAAGUACACAAUGCUCUGAUGCCUUCCGGGACCUACUGUGCUAGUUCUUUGUGGAGAGGGACUUGGGAAUAUGUACUCUGAAGAAACUCCGAGUUGGUUUGGCAGUGCACUGCCUUCUCACUGCUCCAGGAUGGGAGGGUCUGUAUUAGACAAAUAUGCCUAAAUUCUAAACAUCAGAGUCAGAAGAACCUUAACUUUUAUUCCAAUAUAUGAAUUAUCUCUAUUCGUGCUGGAUGGGUGGCUGUAUAAACUAUAGCCUUUUCUUAAACAUUUUCAACACCAGGAAAAUCACAAAGUAGCUUACCCCACUUUUGGACGGCUCACUAGAGAGCUUUUUGGGCCUUGAAUAAAAUUCUGCCUUGCUGGGAUGGCCCCCAUUAGAUUUAGUUCUCCUCUCUGCAGAUGGACAUAUAUAAUCUCUAUAUCUUGUGAGGAAUUCUAGGAAGAACAAGUCAGCCAUCAGGUAUUCCCUAAGUACUCUUUUAAUUAACCCUUUAAUGAUUAUUAGUAUAUUAUAUUGAUUCUACUUCAGUUUUUGCUUUUUUGUUUUGUUCUGUUUUGUUUUGAGAUGGAGUCUUGCUCUGUCGUCCAGGCUGGAGUGCAAUGGCACGAUCUCUGCUUACUGCAACCUCCGCCUGCCGGGUUCAAGCAAUUCUCCUGCCUCAGCCUCCCGAGUAGCUGGGACUAUAGGCAUGCACCACCACAUCCAGCUAAUUUUUGUAUUUUUAGUAGAGAUUGGGUUUCACCAUAAUGGCCAGGCUGGUCUCGAACUCCUGACCUCGUGAUCUGCCCGCCUUGGCCUCCCAAAAUGCUGGGAUUACAGGUGUGAGCCACCGCGCCUAGCCCUCUACUUCAGUUUUUAAAUUUAUGUCUUCUAAAUUUUAGCAAUGUUAAAUCAAGUUUAGCCUAAAGCUGCCUCCUUACAUACUUUAAGUUCAGCCUCCAGGUUUCUCUGUACAUGGUGAACUAUAACCUAAAGGGAGUUAGACUCUAGCCUACUCUUGAGCCAGUUACUGAGUUGUGGUCAAAGGUGGCCAACUGUUCAAACUGUGUUAAAAUAAGGCAGAUGCCAAGCUGUAACCAAUUCGGCUAUUUCUGUACCUCACUUUCGUUUUCUGUAUGUCACUUUCCUUUUUCAGUCCAUAAAUCUUCCUGCACGUGGCUGUGCUGGAGUCUCUGGGCCUACUCUGGCUCAGAAGGCUGCCGAAUUCUUGAAUGGUUCUUUGCUCAAUUAAACUCUGUUAAAUUUAA